CCUACGGGAGGCAGCAGUGAGGAAUAUUGGUCAAUGGACGAGAGUCUGAACCAGCCAAGUAGCGUGAAGGAUGACUGCCCUAUGGGUUGUAAACUUCUUUUAUAUGGGAAUAAAACGUUCCACGUGUGGGAUUUUGUAUGUACCAUAUGAAUAAGGAUCGGCUAACUCCGUGCCAGCAGCCGCGGUAAUACGGAGGAUCCGAGCGUUAUCCGGAUUUAUUGGGUUUAAAGGGAGGGUAGGGGGGUUGUUAAGUCAGUUGUGAAAGUUUGCGGCUCAAACGGAAAAUUGCAGUUGAAACUGGCAGUCUUGAGUACAGUAGAGGUGGGCGGAAUGCGUGGUGUAGCGGUGAAAUGCUUAGAUAUCACGAAGAACUCCGAUUGCGAAGGCAGUUCACUGGACUGCAACUGACACUGAGGCUCGAAAGUGUGGGUAUCAAACAGGAUUAGAUACCCGUGUAGUC
RNAcentral lists this ribosomal RNA (460 nucleotides) under uncultured bacterium. RNAcentral describes it as "partial 16S ribosomal RNA". It matches the Rfam family "Bacterial small subunit ribosomal RNA", at positions 338 to 795 of the family's 1533-position model. The record is from RNAcentral.